RNAcentral lists this unclassified non-coding RNA (328 nucleotides) under soil metagenome. RNAcentral describes it as "partial contains 5.8S ribosomal RNA, internal transcribed spacer 2, and large subunit ribosomal RNA". The stretch from base 1 to 120 matches the Rfam family "5.8S ribosomal RNA", at positions 35 to 154 of the family's 154-position model. The record is from RNAcentral.
GAUGAAGAACGUAGCGAAAUGCGAUAAGUAGUGUGAAUUGCAGAAUUCAGUGAAUCAUCGAAUCUUUGAACGCACAUUGCGCCCCCUGGUAUUCCGGGGGGCAUGCCUGUUCGAGCGUCAUUUCAACCCUCAAGCUCUGCUUGGUAUUGAGUCCAUGUCAGCAAUGGCAGGCUCCAAAAUCAGUGGCGGCGCCGCUGGGUCCUGAACGUAGUAAUAUCUCUCGUUACAGGUGCUCGGCGUGCUUCUGCCAAAACCCCAAUUUUUCUAUGGUUGACCUCGGAUCAGGUAGGGAUACCCGCUGAACUUAAGCAUAUCAAUAAGCGGAGGA